RNAcentral lists this small nucleolar RNA (98 nucleotides) under Marmota monax (woodchuck). It matches the Rfam family "Small nucleolar RNA U13". The record is from RNAcentral. Lineage: Eukaryota; Metazoa; Chordata; Mammalia; Rodentia; Sciuridae.
AUCCUCUUGUGAACGGUUCCUAAGUGUGAAUUGGGUUUUUAUGCCAUUGUGUGAGAUGUGCCUUCCUCAAAUCUUGUAAUGGCAUCAGCACAUUAUCA